ACUCCUACGGGAGGCAGCAGUGGGGAAUUUUGGACAAUGGGCGAAAGCCUGAUCCAGCAAUGCCGCGUGAGUGAAGAAGGCCUUCGGGUUGUAAAGCUCUUUUGUCAGGGAAGAAACGGUGAGAGCUAAUAUCUCUUGCUAAUGACGGUACCUGAAGAAUAAGCACCGGCUAACUACGUGCCAGCAGCCGCGGUAAUACGUAGGGUGCAAGCGUUAAUCGGAAUUACUGGGCGUAAAGCGUGCGCAGGCGGUUUUGUAAGUCUGAUGUGAAAUCCCCGGGCUCAACCUGGGAAUUGCAUUGGAGACUGCAAGGCUAGAAUCUGGCAGAGGGGGGUAGAAUUCCACGUGUAGCAGUGAAAUGCGUAGAUAUGUGGAGGAACACCGAUGGCGAAGGCAGCCCCCUGGGUCAAGAUUGACGCUCAUGCACGAAAGCGUGGGGAGCAAACAGGAUUAGAUACCCUUGUAGUCC
RNAcentral lists this ribosomal RNA (469 nucleotides) under uncultured organism. RNAcentral's name for it is "partial 16S ribosomal RNA". It matches the Rfam family "Bacterial small subunit ribosomal RNA", at positions 335 to 796 of the family's 1533-position model. The record is from RNAcentral.